Molecule: long non-coding RNA, 512 nt
Filed under: Numida meleagris (helmeted guineafowl)
Lineage: Eukaryota; Metazoa; Chordata; Aves; Galliformes; Numididae
Description: lncRNA (ENSNMEG00000012033.1)
Source: RNAcentral
UCCCCCCAAAAAAUCUGCUGCUAAAUUAGGUGCAGGUGCAGUGCCAGCAGUGUUUGAAACUGGUAUGAACUCUUCCUCAGCUCUAUCAGCUGUUUUCAGCUUUGCAUCAUUUAGGCAUGCUCCAGGGAGGCCUGAUAAACUUAGUGCUGAACAAGUCUGUGAAGUCUGAGAACAGCUUCUCUCAUGGCUCCUAGCACUGUUAAUAUUCAUGCAGCUGAUCUAGCAUUAUAACUCUAGUCAUCUUUUCUACAAGUACUGUGGGUCUUGCGGUUUCCUGCUGAAUUAGGGGGUCUGGAUUGCUGAGAUCGAAGCUGAAACUAACCAGGAAAUGUACCUAUAACAGAAGAAGUGGAUACGGAGAAACAGAAUGGAGGGGAAAAAAAAAAUUCUUGCGCUUUAUCAGCUUGUCUCAUCUCCAUCAUCGCUGCUGGCAGAGUACCAUUCUUCAGUUUCUUCAGCGAGGCAUCUGUGAUGAUGAGAUGGCCAACUUCUUCCUUCGCUCCCCUCCCGGA